CCAAUAUCAAGUGCUCCUGAUGCUUGGUUUGAUGUAGUUGAACGCUACUCGAAUGAUAAUAACAAGACACUAAAACGGACCGCACAAGUGAGUAGAUGUCUCAACUUGGGAUCAUACAACUACCUUGGUUUUGCUGCAGCUGAUGAAUACUGCACGCCUCGAGUAGUUGAGACAUUGAAGAAGUAUUCACCGAGCACGUGCAGCAGCAGGGUGGAUGGGGGCACAACUGCGCUUCACAAUGAGUUGGAGG
Long non-coding RNA from Gastrolobium bilobum, 250 nucleotides. RefSeq lists it as uncharacterized. The record is from RefSeq and is a predicted model, not a curated record. The transcript is spliced from 3 exons. Lineage: Eukaryota; Viridiplantae; Streptophyta; Magnoliopsida; Fabales; Fabaceae.